AGUGAACGCUGGCGGCGUGCCUAAUACAUGCAAGUCGAACGAACGAAUAAGAGCUUGCUCUUCUCAGUUAGUGGCGCACGGGUGAGUAAUAUAUAGCUAAUCUGCCUCUUAGUAGAGGAUAACAGUCGGAAACGAUUGCUAAUACUCUAUACUUCUGCUUUACAUAAGUAAAGUAGAGAAAGUUUUUCGCUAAGAGAUGAGGCUAUACUGUAUCAGCUAGUUGGUAAGGUAACGGCUUACCAAGGCUAUGACGCAUAACUGGUCUGAGAGGAUGAUCAGUCACAUUGGAACUGAGACACGGUCCAAACUCCUACGGGAGGCAGCAGUAGGGAAUAUUGCGCAAUGGGGGAAACCCUGACGCAGCAACGCCGCGUGGAGGAUGACACCUUUCGGAGCGUAAACUCCUUUUAUCGGGAAAGAAUAAUGACGGUACCCGAUGAAUAAGCACCGGCUAACUCCGUG
This 462-nucleotide ribosomal RNA is filed under the name uncultured bacterium. Its description in RNAcentral is "partial 16S ribosomal RNA". It matches the Rfam family "Bacterial small subunit ribosomal RNA", at positions 29 to 507 of the family's 1533-position model. The record is from RNAcentral.